Molecule: long non-coding RNA, 832 nt
Filed under: Meriones unguiculatus (Mongolian gerbil)
Lineage: Eukaryota; Metazoa; Chordata; Mammalia; Rodentia; Muridae
Description: lncRNA (ENSMUGG00000025669.1)
Source: RNAcentral
AUUUAGACCAACUGGCCGUUGCAGGACAAGGUUCGGAUUUACAAAAGAAAAACUUAUUUAGAUUGCUUUUCUUGGGGAGGGGGGAGUUGUUUUCAUUCGGGGAUUAAGGGGAACACAUCCGGCUCCCUUCUGCUAAUCGGGCCUCAGGCCCCCUCCUGUUUCAGGGCCUUUCCAGAGGGGGGAAAAAAAGACACCUCCUGAUGUGCCUCCCAUCACCCCAGAUCUAACUAUUCAGCUCUUACCCUUGCUUUCCUGGCUCGACGCGAACGUACAUAUAUUUUUAUAUAUUUGCACGGUCACACCACCAUCAGCAGGGGUUUCCCCGAGGUCAGAAAAUAGCUAUCGAUUAACCUAUUAGGGACAGUUGCAGAGAAAUAAAAAGGACGUAAAAUAACAGGGAACCUAUAAACAAAGACGCCGUAACUGGCUGUUGGAGUUGUUAAACGACUUAGCCCAGAAAAAAGUCGGAAAUGAGCUGGAAAUGGAGCGGGUAUUGGCAGCGGCCUGGACAAACCCCUCAAGACCCAACUUCUCUCAAAACGUGAGAAGAGGCGAGGAUGUGUCCAGCGCACACGAAGUUUCCGAGCCCGAUCCGGGGUCACACCUGAUCCGGAAAGGCGUGCCUGAGUUGAUGUCUGCAGCUGCACCCUUGUGACCCGCUGGCCCAAAACACAACAAAAACCAAAAACGUCUCCUACCCUGACGGUCUUCUGGGGGAAACCGACAGGAGCUGCGGCGGGCUGGAGCUGGCCGCCUGUCACCCUGGGCAAGAGGUCACAGCGGCAACUGCUUAAGCGACUCAAAGGAAGGUGGGGAGGAAAAGAAAACACGA